GGUUAAGCGACUAAGCGUACACGGUGGAUGCCCUGGCAGUCAGAGGCGAUGAAGGACGUGCUAAUCUGCGAUAAGCGUCGGUAAGGUGAUAUGAACCGUUAUAACCGGCGAUUUCCGAAUGGGGAAACCCAGUGUGUUUCGACACACUAUCAUUAACUGAAUCCAUAGGUUAAUGAGGCGAACCGGGGGAACUGAAACAUCUAAGUACCCCGAGGAAAAGAAAUCAACCGAGAUUCCCCCAGUAGCGGCGAGCGAACGGGGAGCAGCCCAGAGUCUGAAUCAGUGUGUGUGUUAGUGGAAGCGUCUGGAAAGGCGCGCGAUACAGGGUGACAGCCCCGUACACAAAAAUGCACAUGCUGUGAGCUCGAUGAGUAGGGCGGGACACGUGGUAUCCUGUCUGAAUAUGGGGGGACCAUCCUCCAAGGCUAAAUACUCCUGACUGACCGAUAGUGAACCAGUACCGUGAGGGAAAGGCGAAAAGAACCCCGGCGAGGGGAGUGAAAAAGAACCUGAAACCGUGUACGUACAAGCAGUGGGAGCCUCUUUAUGGGGUGACUGCGUACCUUUUGUAUAAUGGGUCAGCGACUUAUAUUCUGUAGCAAGGUUAACCGAAUAGGGGAGCCGAAGGGAAACCGAGUCUUAACUGGGCGUUAAGUUGCAGGGUAUAGACCCGAAACCCGGUGAUCUAGCCAUGGGCAGGUUGAAGGUUGGGUAACACUAACUGGAGGACCGAACCGACUAAUGUUGAAAAAUUAGCGGAUGACUUGUGGCUGGGGGUGAAAGGCCAAUCAAACCGGGAGAUAGCUGGUUCUCCCCGAAAGCUAUUUAGGUAGCGCCUCGUGAAUUCAUCUCCGGGGGUAGAGCACUGUUUCGGCAAGGGGGUCAUCCCGACUUACCAACCCGAUGCAAACUGCGAAUACCGGAGAAUGUUAUCACGGGAGACACACGGCGGGUGCUAACGUCCGUCGUGAAGAGGGAAACAACCCAGACCGCCAGCUAAGGUCCCAAAGUCAUGGUUAAGUGGGAAACGAUGUGGGAAGGCCCAGACAGCCAGGAUGUUGGCUUAGAAGCAGCCAUCAUUUAAAGAAAGCGUAAUAGCUCACUGGUCGAGUCGGCCUGCGCGGAAGAUGUAACGGGGCUAAACCAUGCACCGAAGCUGCGGCAGCGACACUGUGUGUUGUUGGGUAGGGGAGCGUUCUGUAAGCCUGCGAAGGUGUGCUGUGAGGUAUGCUGGAGGUAUCAGAAGUGCGAAUGCUGACAUAAGUAACGAUAAAGCGGGUGAAAAGCCCGCUCGCCGGAAGACCAAGGGUUCCUGUCCAACGUUAAUCGGGGCAGGGUGAGUCGACCCCUAAGGCGAGGCCGAAAGGCGUAGUCGAUGGGAAACAGGUUAAUAUUCCUGUACUUGGUGUUACUGCGAAGGGGGGACGGAGAAGGCUAUGUUGGCCGGGCGACGGUUGUCCCGGUUUAAGCGUGUAGGCUGGUUUUCCAGGCAAAUCCGGAAAAUCAAGGCUGAGGCGUGAUGACGAGGCACUACGGUGCUGAAGCAACAAAUGCCCUGCUUCCAGGAAAAGCCUCUAAGCAUCAGGUAACAUCAAAUCGUACCCCAAACCGACACAGGUGGUCAGGUAGAGAAUACCAAGGCGCUUGAGAGAACUCGGGUGAAGGAACUAGGCAAAAUGGUGCCGUAACUUCGGGAGAAGGCACGCUGAUAUGUAGGUGAAGCGACUUGCUCGUGGAGCUGAAAUCAGUCGAAGAUACCAGCUGGCUGCAACUGUUUAUUAAAAACACAGCACUGUGCAAACACGAAAGUGGACGUAUACGGUGUGACGCCUGCCCGGUGCCGGAAGGUUAAUUGAUGGGGUCAGCGCAAGCGAAGCUCUUGAUCGAAGCCCCGGUAAACGGCGGCCGUAACUAUAACGGUCCUAAGGUAGCGAAAUUCCUUGUCGGGUAAGUUCCGACCUGCACGAAUGGCGUAAUGAUGGCCAGGCUGUCUCCACCCGAGACUCAGUGAAAUUGAACUCGCUGUGAAGAUGCAGUGUACCCGCGGCAAGACGGAAAGACCCCGUGAACCUUUACUAUAGCUUGACACUGAACAUUGAGCCUUGAUGUGUAGGAUAGGUGGGAGGCUUAGAAGUGUGGACGCCAGUCUGCAUGGAGCCGACCUUGAAAUACCACCCUUUAAUGUUUGAUGUUCUAACGUUGACCCGUAAUCCGGGUUGCGGACAGUGUCUGGUGGGUAGUUUGACUGGGGCGGUCUCCUCCUAAAGAGUAACGGAGGAGCACGAAGGUUGGCUAAUCCUGGUCGGACAUCAGGAGGUUAGUGCAAUGGCAUAAGCCAGCUUGACUGCGAGCGUGACGGCGCGAGCAGGUGCGAAAGCAGGUCAUAGUGAUCCGGUGGUUCUGAAUGGAAGGGCCAUCGCUCAACGGAUAAAAGGUACUCCGGGGAUAACAGGCUGAUACCGCCCAAGAGUUCAUAUCGACGGCGGUGUUUGGCACCUCGAUGUCGGCUCAUCACAUCCUGGGGCUGAAGUAGGUCCCAAGGGUAUGGCUGUUCGCCAUUUAAAGUGGUACGCGAGCUGGGUUUAGAACGUCGUGAGACAGUUCGGUCCCUAUCUGCCGUGGGCGCUGGAGAACUGAGGGGGGCUGCUCCUAGUACGAGAGGACCGGAGUGGACGCAUCACUGGUGUUCGGGUUGUCAUGCCAAUGGCACUGCCCGGUAGCUAAAUGCGGAAGAGAUAAGUGCUGAAAGCAUCUAAGCACGAAACUUGCCCCGAGAUGAGUUCUCCCUGACUCCUUGAGAGUCCUGAAGGAACGUUGAAGACGACGACGUUGAUAGGCCGGGUGUGUAAGCGCAGCGAUGCGUUGAGCUAACCGGUACUAAUGAACCGUGAGGCUUAACCUU
Molecule: ribosomal RNA, 2902 nt
Filed under: Escherichia coli
Lineage: Bacteria; Pseudomonadati; Pseudomonadota; Gammaproteobacteria; Enterobacterales; Enterobacteriaceae
Description: 23S ribosomal RNA
Rfam family: Bacterial large subunit ribosomal RNA
Source: RNAcentral